GAUGAACGCUGGCGGCGUGCCUAAUACAUGCAAGUCGAGCGAACGGACGAGAAGCUUGCUUCUCUGAUGUUAGCGGCGGACGGGUGAGUAACACGUGGAUAACCUACCUAUAAGACUGGGAUAACUUCGGGAAACCGGAGCUAAUACCGGAUAAUAUUUUGAACCGCAUGGUUCAAAAGUGAAAGACGGUCUUGCUGUCACUUAUAGAUGGAUCCGCGCUGCAUUAGCUAGUUGGUAAGGUAACGGCUUACCAAGGCAACGAUGCAUAGCCGACCUGAGAGGGUGAUCGGCCACACUGGAACUGAGGCACGGUCCAGACUCCUACGGGAGGCAGCAGUAGGGAAUCUUCCGCAAUGGGCGAAGGCCUGACGGAGCAACGCCGCGUGAGUGAUGAAGGUCUUCGGAUCGUAAAACUCUGUUAUUAGGGAAGAACAUAUGUGUAAGUAACUGUGCACAUCUUGACGGUACCUAAUCAGAAAGCCACGGCUAACUACGUG
This 497-nucleotide ribosomal RNA is filed under the name uncultured bacterium. Its description in RNAcentral is "partial 16S ribosomal RNA". It matches the Rfam family "Bacterial small subunit ribosomal RNA", at positions 28 to 507 of the family's 1533-position model. The record is from RNAcentral.